Octopus bimaculoides (California two-spot octopus) is the source of this 556-nucleotide long non-coding RNA. NCBI's taxonomy places the organism in Eukaryota, Metazoa, Mollusca, Cephalopoda, Octopoda, Octopodidae. The record is from RefSeq and is a predicted model, not a curated record.
UAAAAGCUACAACGCAGUUUUGAUUCGCCAUAGAAAUAAUCUCAUCUGAUAUUGGUUUAUAUUGAAUUGUGGAGAUAUAUCGACAUGGAAUCUCAUUACUUUCAGCGAAUUAGAAAGUCUUUGUGCCUCGCAAAAACAAAGCCAUGUAUUUGAACCAGUAGAGAAAGAGAGAAAAGCUUAAUCUAUGGAGGUCUCUAUCGUAGUUUAUUAUCUUAUUUCGUUGGAUAGUAACCACGUCAAUACGUAUAGAAAAUCCAUAUAAUUUUCUAUAUGUACACUCACUAUAUUAUAUAUAAUAACAAGGAUGACAGAUAGCAGGACAUAUGAAACAACAGUUUGGAUUUAAAUAUAUUCCUCUACGUUGUGUGGAUUCAGAUCCUAUCAAAGACUCAGAUGGAUGUAAACUCAAGUUGAUCACUGUGGAAUUUUAAUUUAGAAUGCAGAAAAAUGUAAUCAAAUACUACAGGCAUUAGUAUUUAAUUAAUGCUCUACUGUUUCUUCAUAUUCUCAAUGCCGGACUUGAACAGACUUUUGAUUAAAGACAUUCUAACCUUGA